RNAcentral lists this ribosomal RNA (432 nucleotides) under uncultured Desulfobulbus sp. RNAcentral's name for it is "bacterial SSU rRNA". It matches the Rfam family "Bacterial small subunit ribosomal RNA", at positions 956 to 1382 of the family's 1533-position model. Lineage: Bacteria; Pseudomonadati; Thermodesulfobacteriota; Desulfobulbia; Desulfobulbales; Desulfobulbaceae. The record is from RNAcentral.
GCAACGCGAAGAACCUUACCUGGUCUUGACAUCCCGGAGACCCUUAGGAAACUAGGGGGUGCUUCCAUCUGGAAGAAUCUGGAGACAGGUGCUGCAUGGCUGUCGUCAGCUCGUGUCGUGAGAUGUUGGGUUAAGUCCCGCAACGAGCGCAACCCUUGCCUUUAGUUGCCAGCAGUUCGGCUGGGCACUCUAAAGGGACUGCCGGUGUUAAACCGGAGGAAGGUGGGGAUGACGUCAAGUCCUCAUGGCCUUUAUGACCAGGGCUACACACGUACUACAAUGGCCGAUACAAAGGGCAGCGACACUGCGAGGUGAAGCCAAUCCCGUAAAAUCGGUCUCAGUCCGGAUUGGAGUCUGCAACUCGACUCCAUGAAGUUGGAAUCGCUAGUAAUCGUGGAUCAGCAUGCCACGGUGAAUACGUUCCCGGGCCUU